CAAUAUCUUUGGGGCAUAUUGAUAAUAAGUCGAAAUGACAUAUCUAAGAUUGGUGAAUGACUGAACUAAGUAUCACAUCUCCUUUAGUAUUAAUAACCACGUCGGUCGAAUACCGAAAUAAAUUACCAUAGACCGGCCAUAAGCUGAGAUAAAUAUUAUACUAUUUAAGAGCAACUUUGGGUUAUGCCGAUGAAGGAGCAGAAUGGUAAUCUGCUGAUGUGACUUGAAAAAAUAUUUGAUUCAGAUAAUAAUCUACCGCCAUAUGUUCAAAUGAUG
RNAcentral lists this long non-coding RNA (276 nucleotides) under Elaeis guineensis (African oil palm). Its description in RNAcentral is "long non-coding RNA (EGUI_LNC026162)". The record is from RNAcentral. Lineage: Eukaryota; Viridiplantae; Streptophyta; Magnoliopsida; Arecales; Arecaceae.